This 301-nucleotide ribosomal RNA is filed under the name uncultured bacterium. Its description in RNAcentral is "partial 16S ribosomal RNA". It matches the Rfam family "Bacterial small subunit ribosomal RNA", at positions 509 to 808 of the family's 1533-position model. The record is from RNAcentral.
CAGUAGCGUGGUAAUACGAAGGGGGCUAGCGUUGCUCGGAUUUACUGGGCGUAAAGCGUGCGUAGGCGGCUUUUUAAGUCGGAUGUGAAAUCCCUGAGCUUAACUUAGGAAUUGCAUUCGAUACUGGGAAGCUAGAGUAUGGGAGAGGAUGGUAGAAUUCCAGGUGUAGCGGUGAAAUGCGUAGAGAUCUGGAGGAAUACCGAUGGCGAAGGCAGCCAUCUGGCCUAAUACUGACGCUGAGGUACGAAAGCAUGGGGAGCAAACAGGAUUAGAUACCCCAGUAGUCCCUGUCUCUUAUACA